Lagopus leucura (white-tailed ptarmigan) is the source of this 8058-nucleotide long non-coding RNA. RefSeq lists it as uncharacterized. The transcript is spliced from 13 exons. Lineage: Eukaryota; Metazoa; Chordata; Aves; Galliformes; Phasianidae. The record is from RefSeq and is a predicted model, not a curated record.
CUGGCCUGGCUGAGCUUUUCACUUUUCCACUGUCUUGAGAUGUUUCUCUCAUUGUGCACUACGCUGUAUUUUUAUGGUCAACAUAUCCUAUAGCAAACAAUUUCAGGCUGAUGGCGGAAGGGAGAUUGGAUUCCGAUCGGAGAUUUGAGCCCGGGACGGGGAGCCAGGAACGCCUCAGUUCCUGGACCAGAUCUGCCACUAAAUCAGGAAUCCACAUAAAGCAAAGCCACAUGACGAGCGACUGCAGGAUGAUUUGAUUUUCUGUGCAGAGGAGGAAGCGAGUGUUUGAACGCGGCCCUUGCCUUGGCGCACCGCUGCAACCGGAGCCGCCAUUACAGGGACUGCUCGAGGUGGAUGCAGUGGUCCCUGUCAGAUGUGUGCCAAAUUGAAAUGCCAGCAGCUGUGUGAGCAGCGGGAUAAUCGUAUCUGCCGCUUCUUUCUUCCAAGUCCUGACAUUCCCAUUUCAGCAGUGGUGAGUCCGUGCUCAGCUCCACAGGAGGAAUUCCAUUGACUGAAGGCAUGCUGAUGCCUGGAGGAUGAGGUUACAUGCUCAUCAGUCACCUGUCUGACUGCGAACCCACUGGAUUGACUUCCAAGUGCUGUUCUGUGGGGCGUUUCCCCCUUCCUCCCUGCAGGACCACCUCACAGGUGUUCAGGGGACAGCAAUAUGCUACUGCUUCUCCUGCCAAAGUCACUUUCCCAGCAGUUCAGUUGAAAGAGGACAGAUAGCAAGAAACCAAACGGUGCAGAGGCAAACAAAGGAACCCUGAGGAUCCCAUCAGCAGUGAUUGCUUUGCACACGAACGGGCUUGCUGGGAGGACUGACCAAACCUCAGUGAUAACAUCAGUGCUCCCCAGCUGAAAGUGGGAAGCUUGUAUUGCUCUACUGUUGUCAUAAGAAGGCACAGACUUUGGAAGCAGCAGCUCGUUCCCCUUACAGAUUUGCAGUGUAUUCUCCUUUUUUCCAUUCUGUACCAUUGAGUGUGAUGAUGGUAACUGAAGGAAACUUUUGUUUUCUUUGUUUGUUUUUCUGUUUUGUUUUGUUUUUCCCUGACUUUAUUUUUGAGAUACUAAUUUCAUUAUUUGAGGGUGUGUGUAAGAUUCUGGAAGCACAUUUUAUAUCUGCUGUGCUGUGAGAUCUUUGGUAUGGUAUUGACUCAUUCAUUGGCACCUGAGAGAGGUUUGGGGAAUUCAGCAAGCUUUCAACAAUCCAGUUUGAGAGACUACACAGAAUUAUGUCUCGCUCAGGAGAUGCUGCUGUUGGCUUAUUCCCUACCAUCACAGCAGGAGGGGACAGGAGGGAAAAAUUUGCUCAGUUUUUUGUUAUGAUCCAUCUUCAUCCAUGAUAUGGCAUCUGCACUAUGGAAUUCCCCCUGAAUGAAAGGGAAUGACAACGUCUUCACCUCCUGAAGACAGGAUACAGCUCUCAGACUGAAUUAGCUGCAGCUGGAUAGCUUUUUGAAAUCUCCACAGUUAUCAGACCUGGAAGAUUUUUCUAUCGUGAUGGCCUGGGCUAGGCAUUUGGUGGAUUCAUCUCAGUGACUGUGAAAUUCCUGAGGAUGUUAUCACUUUCAAGUCAGAUUAACAGAGUAAUUUCCAGUUACCACCAGUGAAGAGAUUCCUACCAAUGCUGGCAGGCAAUUGUUCAGUCUUAUGGAGCUUCAAGUAACUGUACAGUUUGAAAGUCUGAGUUUGCUGGACUUUGCCUGCUUUGGCAGUGUGCGCAGCAUGGAGCUUGCAGGAGCUGCUCACUGCUUGACAACCGUGCAACCAUGCUACCAGAACUCCUGAUACUACUCUUAAAGUGGACCUUUCUUUGAGAAAGAAAAUGAUUCCAUCUUUUUUGAUCAGGUUCUUCCUCUAGAGGAGUUCCUGCAGCUACAGGACCAGGAGCAGUGCUUCAGACUUGUCAGAAGUUUUACUGUUUUUUUUUUUUAACAUGAUCCUGAUCAACGGGACACUUCAAUGCCUCCUAAAUAUUAUGGACUUCAGAGUCACUCAAAUGCUUGGCGAUUGUCUUACUGUUAUUUUAUUGCCAGAAGAUCGAGGCAACGCCAGAAGUGACUUGAUAGGAGACUGCUGCAGGGAGGCAUGUGCAUUAGCAAAUGAAGUCUGAUACAUUGCAGCCAUGGGGAUCAAGUUGGAAGAGUGUGCAUUCACUGGAGCUCUGUAACCCAUGUGCUCUUCAGAUGACCUCAUACACCUCACAGUUGCCAGGACUCAUCCUGUCUGGAUUACAGGUUUCUCUCAUUUCUGCUUCUCUCAGUGAAGUUGUCCUCAGUGCUCACCUCACGUAAACAGCUAGGCUCAGUGGAGGACCAUCCUCAUCUGGUGGCUCUUUGGCACAAGUGCCAUAACACUUGCUCAUUUAUUAUUAAAAAAAAUCUUAAAACUCAGAAGAUGAAGAAUGAAUUAAUCCUUGGAACAUCUGCAUAUGGUUUAAAGAGAAAUUCAACGCGUUUACUGAAUUCCUGUUUUUCAGAUGUCUGAGGUCAAGAAAAGGUUAAAGUUGUUCACAAGCUCUGGCCUUAGAAGUUAAUUCAGUGCUGUGCUGCGAGAGCUACAGAGUAGGUCCUUGGAACAGUGAAUUGCUGGUUUGAUAUCAAGGUCUGUGGGCUUUAAUAAUAUAAUUAGUUUGUUUUCUAAGGAAAUCCUAGCAGGGACAUUAUGGUCAUAUAAAGUCAUUAUACUGUUUUACAACAUAACUUUAACGAUGUUUUGGAAUGAUCAGAGUCUCUGGGAAAGGAUUCUAUUUUUUAUUACUUGUGGGAUAUCUUUAAACUGUCAUAGCUACAACAGUGCCGCUUGGAAUAGGUGCUCUACAGUUCCAAAGAAAAGACAAAAGAUAUUUAGAGGCCUAAGUUGGGUUGCUGGAGCAUAUCUGUCCAUAGAAAGCCUGAAAGUUAAAUUGUGUGGAUUCCACACCCUUCUGACAAGCAGCUCCUGUUUUGUAGGAGGUGGACAGUUGGGGUAAUCUAGGUAUUUUAUUGCAUUACCACAGGAACAGAUAGCCUAGGAUGCUACAAGUUUUGCUUUUCAUAGUUCUCUGUCAGAAUUCAGGAGUGAGCAGUUUUAAAAGUAUUAGAAAAGGAAGAGGGCAUAUUUUCCAGAACUUUGGUAUCCUGCGAACUCAAAGACAGAAGAAACAUUAAACUAGUCAAACUAAAAAACUAGUUCUGCUGCCAUUUCUGCUCUGCUAAUUCUGAGGCAACACCAUCUGCUGGAGGAGAAGGGAGACAAAGAACCAUUAAUUUGGGAUGAGGGGAGCAUGCUACAGAGAGGUUUCCCUGUGGUGCAGAGCAGCUUCUGGAUGUGCUGAGGGACGGGUCUGUUAGGGCCUCAUUUUCUUCCUCCUCUGUAAACUAUGUCUAACAGCUUCAGUGAGAGAAAGCAUCAAGCCCCAUUGUGUUCAUAGAAAUACAACAUAUUUUAAAGCUGUAGUUAAUGGAUAAGCUGCUUUCUGAUUGGGUGAGCUGCACAAUAAAUCUCUCCAUGAGCCAAGUGCAGUGCAGCUUGUUCAGGAACAGUGAAAUGAGCCACUGUCACUUUGCUGCACUCUCAUACAUCAGGCAAAACGCUUCCAUCUUCAUCAGUCUUUUAGUAAAACAGAAAUAAAACAAUCGUAACAGAAUGGUGUCACUGGAUCCGUGGCACCUGCUUUAAAAAUAAAUCUCUGAGCUUUGUCUUUGCUAUUACUUUCAAUAAAUGUCCUAGCAUUGCCACAGCAUUUAUCUAGCAGCAGGAAACCAUUAUCCUAUGACAACAAUCUAUUCCAUUAACAUUAGCUCUUAAUUGUAAGAUUGUUUAUUAGACAGCAAAAGCUACUGAAUUAUACUAGAAUGAUAAAAAGAGUUAUGGUCAUGGAGUACAGCAGUCACUCCAGUUCUGAAAAACAACUUUAGAAAAGUAGAGAGCUAUAUUUUCAUAUGAAAAAUAAUGUAAUAUUUGUAUGCAAGAAAAUGUUUUUAAAUAAUGUAUUACAUCAGCAAAAUAACUCUUAAAGAGUUAAUGUUAAAAAUUGUUACUGAGAAGCUUUUGCUUUGAUAAAUGGCAUAACAAAAAAGCUGAAUAGAAAGCUCAGAAACUUGCAUAGUUCUUCCUGAAAGGCUGUACUGAGUCAAACAGAGAAUCACAGUAACAGAAGCACAUUUGUCUGGCGGAGUCAACAGAAGGAAUGUUGCAAAAUUGAGAUAUGAAGAACCUGACUGCAGAAUAGAAGAACUGUCAUUCUGAUUGUUUGUCAUUAUUGUUUCAUGUCCAGUUAAGUGAACUUCGAGUGACAGUUGUGUCAUAACUACUGGCAUCUAUGUAAAUUUCAAAUCAAAUGCAAUAGAGGCAGUUCUGCCAGACACAAGUCUCCAGACUGCUUUUCCUCUUUACUUUGGUAACCCUCAAUUUUCUUAUACUAUGCUGUUAGCCCUUAAAUUAAAAAGACAACUUCAACAAGAGAUCCCUUUAAUGUGUGCUUUUCAGAUCUCAUUCCGUACCUUAUUUUUCCCUCAGCUCUUCAAAACAAUAGCUGAUGUCAACAUUUCUAUCAGAAACAAUCACCAUAAACAUUUAGAUAUAUUAGCAGAAAGUGCUCCUUCCCAUCGAUCACAUACAUCAAAAAUCCUUGGAAACUUUUAAGUUGUGGAAUUCCCCUGAAGACCUAUAGAGAAAAUGGCUCAAGUGAACACUCCUCUGUUCCUUCAGUGGAGCCCGAGUCAGUUGUGACGAGCAUCUGCUCUGUGGGUAGGUGCAAAAUACACGGCGAAAAUAUCAGCCGUGGAUCCCUUCUGUAAAUAAUAGCCUUGUCCAGAGGUUAUGGGGCCUUCACAAGGACACCAGUCGCACCCCUCCAUGGCACUGUGUUACAGUAAGUAACUCGCUUCCUGGAUGCACUUGUAACAGGCAGCUAUUCUAAUGACACAGGAUAUGCAGAUGUGUCCAGGUCUUUAAAAAGUCUUCCAAUGCAAUUAUUAAAGUAUUAUGUGCAGAUAACGCCACCAAAAACAUUGGGCAUGCUGUUCAUUCAGUUGAGCAUGAAACAACUUCCUUCUGAAUAUUUUAAACGUACUUGACUAAUUAAUUGAACAAUUAAUAAGGGCUAGAGUUAAAUUUCUAUUUUUCAUUGUAACAUUGUUUCAGAGCAUUGUUUUAACUAAAUUCUGCUAGGACUUUUUUUGGAAACCACACCAAAGUGCAGCUAUGAUGUUAAACAAAAAUGUUCCUUUGACAAAUGAAAUCUUAAAAAUGGCUACAAGAAAGGAAAAAGUCAGCUUUGAGUGGAAAACAUUUAAUAUGUUUUGAUGAUUUCUUAUCUCAGACAGAAGGGAAGACAAGUUGAUCUUCUCUGCUGAAACUUUUUGAAGUGAGUUCUGACUGAAAAGAUGUGGUGUUUCAACAAAAACAAAUUGUUAUAAAACAUGAUGUAUGCUCAGAAGCAUUAAUGUGUACCUCUCUGCUCCAGGUUUGAACAUUUCUGUCCAUUGAACUAGCCUGUUUCAUUUAUUUUUUAAAUUCUUAUCCAGUUGAUCUUUUUUUGUUCUUCUAUAAGUUUACAGUAGUUCAAUGGCUGCUUUUAUCUGUGAUGUGGGCUUUCAAACAGCACCAAACUCUGCUGUCCCAUCCUGUAAUCUGUCCUUUUGUUAUGGUGACUAGCGAACAGAGGCAACAUGUUAGUGCAAGCACUAUAAAAAUAUCUGUGAAGAAAACAUUCUUUCACUCUAAAGGAUAAGUUCCAUAAGAAUAUAUAUUCUUAAGUAUUUGCACAAUACUUAAAUAUGGUAUGGAUUUUUCUUUUCAAAGGUGGUAAUAUCCUAAUCGUAAAUAUCUUCUUGUUUAUAUGUAUCAUUUUACAGAUUUGUAAUCACAGAAAUCAAUUGCUAGAAUCCAUUUAAGAAAAUCAAAAUAGUUUAACUGAUUUACUUAAAAAAAUGCCUUGUUAGACCACGGAAUUUAAAGUCCUCUUUCAAAAUUAAGGAUGUUUUAUGUAGCAAACUUAUCAUUACACAUUACAUUCUAGUGGCACGUAAAGACUUCUGAUUUAAAACAUGAAUUCUGUGUAGGUUCAAACUGAUGUCUUUGACUUCAGUUCCAGAACUCAAUUUCAGGACUUCUGCUGCUGGUGGCUCAUGGCAGUAUAUUAGUUCUUCCAAUAGGGAUGUGCUCAGGACAAAUUAGUGAACGUAAUUUUAGCUGUAUGAGGUCAUUACAAAUACAGUCUUAGCUCUUCCUAGAGUGGACUUCAUUGUUAAUAUAAAUAUAUAUCUAUAGUUACUGACAUUUAUAUUAUUUGGCUCCUGUCCUAAGUUAUGGAUACAGUGAUGAUAAAAGCCCUUACCUAAGUGAGUCAUGCUUACUAAUUACUUCCAUGGUACUGGGUUCCUGUAAAUAAAGUUACUCAUGUAUUUAUAAGCAAGUCAAAAUUUAUACAUACGUUUCUAAGAGUGAGUUAUCUUUCUCUCUGGGGCAAACAGCACAGUCUGCUGUUUGGAAAAGAAUGCUGAGAGUAAGGACAUCCAGGGUGCUUCCUUGCUUCUGCGAGGGUGUGUGCUCUCCCCUGUUGUUGGAUAUCCAAGUAAAAUACUUAAUUUGGUCACAUUUUUAAAUUAAGACCCUUCUGCAUUAUUUCAAGGUAGGAAAUGGCUGUUGAUUUUUCCUCGCUGUUUCCAAAGAGGCUGGGGUAAGAGAGUCUCUGUCUAAUUGUUUGUUCUAAAGAUGUAGCUUUCAAGACACAAAGCCUAGCAGUGUGACGUGGAAGAUCUCAAGACAAAGCAGCAGCCUCAACAUUUCUCUCUAAUGAGAACAGGAAAAGACAAUUGAGAUCCCGUAGGAAUGCAGUACAUUUAGGAGAGAAGCAGAGCUCCCUUCACGAAUGGUGAGAGAACCCUGGUGAAUGCUGGACUACCUGCUGUCUCUGGGUGUGACUAGGUGAGUGAAGGAUUUGGAUCACAGCCACAGUAACGUUUUCCAGACAUUUAGAUUGCAACUACUACGCCAGCAAUUUUAUGCCUUCCUUUCUCUGACUCCAACAGUACGCAAGAUAAGCAGCCAGAUUUUCUUCUGCAUUGUGUUUUUUAUCCAUUCAGCCAAAAUUAACAGUCUUCAAGGAUAAUGUAUGCCAAGUGAAUUUAAAUCUUGCGGACUCAAAUCGACCUAAAGUUGAUGGAUACAUUCAUGCCUACUGCUGAAAUCUACCAAUUACACAGAACUAUGCUAACUUACCAUAGAAACAUCUCAUCUAAUAGCACAGAUGAUGUUGAACUAACUAAUUACAUUAUGGCACAUAGACAAUGAAAAACAUAACGAAGAUGACAGCACAGCAACAACAGAUGCUGCACAAAAGAAAAAUUAGAAAAAUAUUGCUCUGCAAAAUGCUGUCUGUUAAGGUUUCUUCUGUUAAAAUUAAUCACAAAAAUUAGUGAAGAUUAGAUUUCAGCAGCAGAUAUGAGCAUUGUAAUGCUAUUUGGAAAACGUCAUUAAACCAUUUAAAGUCCUACUCCUUCAGAAGGUAAUUCCCAUUUUUCGUAUCACUAUCAGUUUUAAGAUGAGUAAACAGUUUAGUGCCGAUGGCAUUUUCUUGGGAGAAUAUCUUUCCCAGUGAGGAGAGGUCCCGAUGGCUCUUCCAGAGCUGUGUUUGGUAGCUUCCAGCCAUUAGAACUUAGAUAAUUAGGCAACUCAGAUUUUAUUUUAGCUUGGCAUUUGCUCUGGUCUGUGCUCUUGGCUGUCAGUGACAGUUGAUUAUCUGUAGCGUGCCUUGUUACUUGAUAUAUUUUAAACUGUAACAGAUCCUAAAUUCCAAAUCUGAAACUGCUGAGUAUGUUUAAAUGUAAUAUAUACACAGGGAUUACAUCCAGAUGAUACACUUCAUAGACCUGUGAUAAAAAAAAAAAAAAAAAAGCAUCACUUCUAGCCACCACGCUGGUCCUCAGCCCCUGCCGUCCUCCCCCCAGUAGCUUUCCAUGAGCUCCCGGCUGCUUCAGCACCAAUCCUGAGUGUAAUCUAGUUGAUGGAGAGAGACAGAAAUGGGCUUUUCCCCUAAAUAUAUAUUUCCUCUAAAAAUGCUUCUGAUGC